UUAUAAGAGACAGCAGCAGCCACGGGAAUACAGAGGGUGCGAGCGUUAAUCGGAUUUACUGGGCGUAAAGCGUGCGUAGGCGGCUUCUUAAGUCGGAUGUGAAAUCCCUGAGCUUAACUUAGGAAUUGCAUUCGAUACUGGGAAGCUAGAGUAUGGGAGAGGAUGGUAGAAUUCCAGGUGUAGCGGUGAAAUGCGUAGAGAUCUGGAGGAAUACCGAUGGCGAAGGCAGCCAUCUGGCCUAAUACUGACGCUGAGGUACGAAAGCAUGGGGAGCAAACAGGAUUAGAUACCCGCGUAGUCCCUGUCUCUUAUAC
Molecule: ribosomal RNA, 314 nt
Filed under: uncultured bacterium
Lineage: Bacteria
Description: partial 16S ribosomal RNA
Rfam family: Bacterial small subunit ribosomal RNA
Source: RNAcentral